CAUUUAUUUAUUUACACCGAUACAUCAUCUCGUAAGGGCUGAUGCUGUCUACUAAAAUUACAAAUAUACAAGAGUGGUCUGCCUACGGUAGAAGGAGCUUUCCUACGAUCGAGUGUUUGAUAUCUACCGGUACAUAACAUAUUUCAAGGUCCAUUAGUCAUGGAAUUCUGAUAUGAUUCUCCAUUUCAUUGAUAUGUUUCUGAUAAAUCCUCAAAAUUAAAUAAAUCAAUAAUCAAGCGCGAAAACGAAGUUAUUGGGACCCCGUUGGGAGGGGCUACACAGUUGGUUACCUCACAAUAAAACACGGCUUGUUUUAUUCACCGAGUCCAACAAUAAAUGGCCAUCAAAUCAACAUGCAACAUCAACCCAGUUAGUUCUCUUUGCGACAAAUUCGUCCCACGUCGCCUGACCAAGCAACGGCUACAUAUCUCGGCUACCUGUCACCCAUAACAAACACCACACAGCCUUGACGACCAACAACACGUCAACGCUGCUCGCUCGAGGGUGUUACUUGAGCACGUUUCCUUAAACCAGCCAGUCAAGUCUUUAAUGUUUCUCACCUCUCAACACGAUGUGACAUAUACGUGUAAAAAAUUAAAGCGCGCGAAAAUUUGAAUAAUACAUGCGUAAAAUAAUGUAAAAAAAGACCCGCGAAAAUUCAACCUCGCCAAGCCUACAAUAUUUUUUUUUUUGUCCGCAUAACGUAAAUAAAGUAUAGAAAAACACGUAUAUUUAGAUCAUGCAUGAAUACAUUGAUUUUCGUCCAUAUUACCAAAACAGUAUAUGAAAAAAAUGAAGAUAACAAAAAUAAUAACUGAUUCACGUUCAUACCACAAUAAUGUUGGGAAUUUUUAUAUCAUAUAGGAAUAGAUCUUCUCAAAUACCUGUGUGAGGAUAUUGUUAAGAAAGCACAAAUAUUUAGUCUCGCCAAGCUGAAAAAGUAAAAAACAAGCUUGUCUUCAUUUUACUUCCUUUAUUUCUUAUCUCCCCACUAGUUAAAAAAAAAAAAAAAUAAAUAACACAGCAAUCAAAAUGUGUGGAAUUUUAAAUCACAUAUAAACAAAUUGUCGUUUCUUACAUGACAAAAUAAAAAUAAAAAAUAAUAAUAAUAAUCAAAACAAGCAAACAUCUAGACAAAGUUAAGAAUUUCUGGGGAUAAUUUUUUUCUUACCUGCUAAAGUAUAAUUAAGGGAAAAAAUAAAAAAAAGAAAUGAGUGUUCAAGCAUUUAAGUAAUAGAGCAAUAUAUUAUUUCUUUGGGACAAUCAUAUCUUACUACCAAAGGAACAUCAAGCCAUUGUACAAAAAUAAAUGUAUAUAGUGAAGCACAGCGAUUCAACGGACAUACUCUUGAUUGUUUAUUAUUUUAUGGAUAACUGGAUAUGUAUUGAUAAAAAAAGAUGGGAAAUUCAUAUCCUCAUCCCAGUAGCAGUGGGGAUCAUGUUUCUUAAUGGUCCCUCCAAGCGAGAAAAAUGAGAAAAAAAUCACCCCUCACACAAACCAUUUCAUAACAUAUAUCAAAGCAUUUGUGAUCAGAUUAUGUAUCAUUUAUUUUGGGGGGUUUAUAUCAUGGGACAAAUUUGGCCCGUCACUGCUACACGGUAAAGCCACAAAUUUGGCCCGUCGAUACUACACGGUAAAGCCACAAAUUUGGCCCGUCACUGCUACCGGGUCAACGCCUUUUACAUUUUUUUUUUAUAAUUCUUUACAAUCUCUCCCUUUUUACAAAAACUGCACUUCCCAAAAUUAUGUAUAGGAAACAAAAUGAAUAAAAUUGAAUACUGGCCUUUUGUUCACUACCAUGCACAACUAAAGCUAAAUACUGGAAUGAAUAACUAAAUAUAUAACUAAAUACUGGAGCUUUUUUUCUUUUACAUAACUAAAAUGAUAUAACAAAAAUCUUAACCAUUUUCACAACUCCUUACAAUCUCCACCCAUUUCACAACUCUUAAACCUUUCCAUCCGUGACGCAGACAUUGGCGUUACAGUAUGGAAAGGGUCAAGAGGAAAUGGAAGAGGAUUAAUCCUCUUUUAAACCUCUCAAUCCUCCUCUAAAUUCCUCUUAAUCCCCUUCAAUUUUCUCUUAAGAGGUUUAAAAGAGGAUUAAGAGGAAAUGGAAAAGGAUUAAGAGGUUUAGAAGAGGACUAACCCUUUCCAUACAGUGACGUCGUUGGACACCCGUCACCAUCGCCGGAGUAAAGGAGUUAACAAUCUUCACCCAUUUCACAACUCUUUACAAUCUUCACCCAUUCAUUACAAUCUUCACCCAUUUCACAACUCAUUACAAUCUUCACCCAUUCAUUACAAUCUUCACCCAUUUCACAACUCAUUACAAUCUUCACCCAUUUCACAACUCUUUACAAUCCUCACCCAUUUCGCACCUUUUGCCACUCUUUGGGGAGGCGGUGGCUGAGUGGUCACCCCAUGGACGUGGCAAUCCCGGCAACCCAGGUUCAAGUUCCACCACGAAACACUGACAAUUUUCAACCAGCGCCGAGUGGCAGAUUACCCACAUGCUGUUCAGGUCUUCAAUCAAACCUAAUAUCAAUGAGAAGUGCUGUGAGGGUGGGGGGGAGGCAUGGGUUAAGCAAGUCAUACAUCACAGUACCCACUUAAAACAAAAUUCACCUGUCACUAACGGGCUGGGGCCAUCCACCCAGCCCCUCAAGAGAGCCUACUGGUGCUAUGGGUAAUGCAUAAAAAUAACCAUCCCCAUUCACAACUCAACAAUCCUUUUCACAUUUUUACAGUCUCUCCUAUUUCACAACUCAACACUUUUCCACUUCUUUGCUCUUUACAAUCCUCUCCCAUAUCAAAACUUAACAAUCUGUCCCAUUCUACAACUCUGUGCUUUUCAGAAUAGCUUACAGGUAAUAAAGCAUAUACGAAAUACAUAUUGGAGUGCUUGUUUCCCAUGGACAACCAGAAUAUGACAAACAAAUAAAAGAUAAAGCAUACUUGGGAGGAGGAGAAAUAAAGGUACAUCUCCUCCCGAAAUUGACCUCUCUUUCGGCCACCUCUUUUGAUUCUUUUUUGUAGGAGCAGCGAGUAGCAGGCUUUUUUUUUCAAUAAUGUUUCCUUUUUUUGUGCCCUUGAGCUGUCUCCUUUGUUGUAAAAAAAAAAAAAUGAAAGAGCAGAGGAGAAGCACAGAAAAUCAUAACCGAGAAUGCAUACGAUUUCAACCCUCACACAAAGCCAUUUUUUCUCAUCCUUUACAACCGUCGGCCUUUGCAAAACAACGCAACCCUUGAACGCAAACCUUACGGAACUAUGAGUAAAGUACAAAUAUAACCUAGGAGUGCCGGAAGAAGUACAAUGAGUAAAUAAUGCACCAUGGCUUAAUAAGAGGGGUUUGGUGAGCAUGUGUGGGAUUAAGCUGUGCAUCAGUAAAAAAUAAUGAAAGAGAGGAAAGAAUUUAUGACGCCCAUAUGUAUAAAAAAAAAAAAAUGUAUCUAGACAUAAACAAAUAAACAUGAAAUUAACUGGAAAUCUCUUUUGCUAGGAACUUAGAUAAAGAAACAGAAAAAAAAAUAUAGAAUAACUUUUUGUUGUUGCCAUUCUUUUGAUUUAGAGGGAAAUAUAUGCACCAAGAAUAAGUUACAGGAGAAAUAAACAUGAAAUUAAGUGGGACUCUUUUUAGGAACUUUGAGGUACAAAAUAGGAGAAUAUAAUACUAUACACCUGGAAGAAUACGCUUAAGUCUUUUGAUGCAGGGUAAAAUAUAUAUGCUGUAAGAUAUCAUUGACAAGAGUAAUGAACAGGAUUUUCUCUUAAGAACAUUGAAACAGAUAAAAAAUGUACAUGUAUACAACAAAUAUAAUGACUUUUACCAUUUUGCUGCAGAGGUAAGAAUGUGAAUGAUCAGUUACAAGAAAAUUAAUGAACAGGAUUUUCGCUUCCCAAGAACACUGAAAUACAUGACGACGGAAAAUAAAGAAAGAAAGAAAGAAAAAUAAACAUACAGAACAGCUUUUACAAUUUGAUGAAGGAAAAGAAU
This is a long non-coding RNA of Eriocheir sinensis (Chinese mitten crab), 3995 nucleotides long. RefSeq lists it as uncharacterized. The transcript has 2 exons. Lineage: Eukaryota; Metazoa; Arthropoda; Malacostraca; Decapoda; Varunidae. The record is from RefSeq and is a predicted model, not a curated record.